Siniperca chuatsi (mandarin fish) is the source of this 526-nucleotide long non-coding RNA. RefSeq lists it as uncharacterized. The record is from RefSeq and is a predicted model, not a curated record. The transcript is spliced from 2 exons. NCBI's taxonomy places the organism in Eukaryota, Metazoa, Chordata, Actinopteri, Centrarchiformes, Sinipercidae.
GCGGGGAAAGGAGGAAGAACAGAGAGGAACUGAAUGACAGAGAGAAGGAAUGAAAAAGGACCAGGAGGGUUAAAAAGACACAGAGAAUGGGCAAAGUUUUAUUGUGUUGUAUUGUGUGAACAAGCCGUGACAGAGGCAAGCUGUUGGAUGGCGACAGUCUCUGAAAGGCCACAGUGAAGACAAAGACACUUACAUGUAUUAUAGGGGACAAGUGACAGAUGAGGACAAGGCAGGCCAGCACAGUAAAGAUGCAGUCAAACUCCACACUUCAUCCAAACUCAUUUCUGAAGGAUUUCUGAAGCAGUGCAAGACAUCUUUGAGGCAUUUUAAGCACAAUGUUUCGCUCGUGUCACCUGCCUCUGCAUUGCCCACCGGCUUUCCAGGAGGACCUCACCACAGCUCUCACCUGCCUUGUCUUGGACUGCAUUCCUGCUGUCUGUCUCCAGCCCACCGGCUUCCAGCUGUACCUCCACGCUUCUGGUUCCUCAUUGUGUGUUCUUCUAAAUAAACGGAACCUACUACUGCA